This 746-nucleotide ribosomal RNA is filed under the name Bacillus paramycoides. RNAcentral describes it as "bacterial SSU rRNA". It matches the Rfam family "Bacterial small subunit ribosomal RNA", at positions 49 to 775 of the family's 1533-position model. The record is from RNAcentral. Lineage: Bacteria; Bacillati; Bacillota; Bacilli; Caryophanales; Bacillaceae.
UAAUACAUGCAAGUCGAGCGAAUGGAUUAAGAGCUUGCUCUUAUGAAGUUAGCGGCGGACGGGUGAGUAACACGUGGGUAACCUGCCCAUAAGACUGGGAUAACUCCGGGAAACCGGGGCUAAUACCGGAUAACAUUUUGAACCGCAUGGUUCGAAAUUGAAAGGCGGCUUCGGCUGUCACUUAUGGAUGGACCCGCGUCGCAUUAGCUAGUUGGUGAGGUAACGGCUCACCAAGGCAACGAUGCGUAGCCGACCUGAGAGGGUGAUCGGCCACACUGGGACUGAGACACGGCCCAGACUCCUACGGGAGGCAGCAGUAGGGAAUCUUCCGCAAUGGACGAAAGUCUGACGGAGCAACGCCGCGUGAGUGAUGAAGGCUUUCGGGUCGUAAAACUCUGUUGUUAGGGAAGAACAAGUGCUAGUUGAAUAAGCUGGCACCUUGACGGUACCUAACCAGAAAGCCACGGCUAACUACGUGCCAGCAGCCGCGGUAAUACGUAGGUGGCAAGCGUUAUCCGGAAUUAUUGGGCGUAAAGCGCGCGCAGGUGGUUUCUUAAGUCUGAUGUGAAAGCCCACGGCUCAACCGUGGAGGGUCAUUGGAAACUGGGAGACUUGAGUGCAGAAGAGGAAAGUGGAAUUCCAUGUGUAGCGGUGAAAUGCGUAGAGAUAUGGAGGAACACCAGUGGCGAAGGCGACUUUCUGGUCUGUAACUGACACUGAGGCGCGAAAGCGUGGGGAGCAAACAG